UAGGGAAUCUUCGGCAAUGGGGGGAACCCUGACCGAGCAACGCCGCGUGAGUGAAGAAGGUUUUCGGAUCGUAAAGCUCUGUUGUUAAGGAAGAACGAGUGUGAGAAUGGAAAGUUCAUACUGUGACGGUACUUAACCAGAAAGGGACGGCUAACUACGUGCCAGCAGCCGCGGUAAUACGUAGGUCCCGAGCGUUGUCCGGAUUUAUUGGGCGUAAAGCGAGCGCAGGCGGUUAGAAAAGUCUGAAGUGAAAGGCAGUGGCUCAACCAUUGUAGGCUUUGGAAACUGUUUAACUUAAGUGCAGAAGGGGAGAGUGGAAUUCCAUGUGUAGCGGUGAAAUGCGUAGGUAUAUGGAGGAACACCGGUGGCGAAAGCGGCUCUCUGGUCUGUACCUGACGCUGAGGCUCGAAAGCGUGGGGAGCGAACAGG
RNAcentral lists this ribosomal RNA (429 nucleotides) under Bacteroidota bacterium. Its description in RNAcentral is "Bacteroidetes bacterium partial 16S ribosomal RNA". It matches the Rfam family "Bacterial small subunit ribosomal RNA", at positions 355 to 776 of the family's 1533-position model. The record is from RNAcentral. Lineage: Bacteria; Pseudomonadati; Bacteroidota.